UACGAAGGGGGCUAGCGUUGCUCGGAAUUACUGGGCGUAAAGCGCACGUAGGCGGCCUUUUAAGUCGGGGGUGAAAUCCUGGAGCUCAACUCCAGAACUGCCCUCGAUACUGGAAGACUCGAGUCCGGGAGAGGUGAGUGGAACUGCGAGUGUAGAGGUGAAAUUCGUAGAUAUUCGCAAGAACACCAGUGGCGAAGGCGGCUCACUGGCCCGGUACUGACGCUGAGGUGCGAAAGCGUGGGGAGCAAACAGG
Molecule: ribosomal RNA, 253 nt
Filed under: uncultured bacterium
Lineage: Bacteria
Description: partial 16S ribosomal RNA
Rfam family: Bacterial small subunit ribosomal RNA
Source: RNAcentral